AGCUUUGCACAGUGGCAGUAUCGUAGCCAAUGAGGUUUAUCCAAGGUGCGAUUAUUGCUAAUAAAAAAAGAAUUAUAUCUAUGAAAUACAUAAGAUAUGUUCUCUUUAUAUUAAUAAAAAUUUAAAAAUAGA
Oryctolagus cuniculus (rabbit) is the source of this 132-nucleotide small nuclear RNA. Its record names the gene U4. It matches the Rfam family "U4 spliceosomal RNA". From Rfam's summary of the family: U4 small nuclear RNA (U4 snRNA) is a component of the major U2-dependent spliceosome. The structure of U4 snRNA from yeast and human has been reported. The record is from Ensembl. Lineage: Eukaryota; Metazoa; Chordata; Mammalia; Lagomorpha; Leporidae.